UAGUCCACGCUGUAAACGAUGACAACUAACUUUUGGGCUCUUUGACGAGUUCAGUGGUACAGCUAACGCAUUAAGUUGUCCGCCCGGGGAGUACGGUCGCAAGACUAAAACUCAAAGGAAUUGACGGGGGCCCGCACAAGCGGUGGAUUAUGUGGUUUAAUUCGAAGCAACGCGCAAAACCUUACCUGGGUUUGAAAUCCUGAGAAUCCCUAAGAGAUUAGGGAGUGCCCUUCGGGGAAUUCAGUGACAGGCGCUGCAUGGCUGUCGUCAGCUCGUGUUGUGAAAUGUUGGGUUAAGUCUCGCAACGAGCGCAACCCCUAUUUUUAGUUGCCAGCAUUAAGUUGGGCACUCUAGAGAGACUGCCUGGGUUAACCAGGAGGAAGGUGGGGAUGACGUCAAGUCCUCAUGGCCCUUAUAUCCAGGGCUACACACGUAAUACAAUGGUAAAUACAAAGGGAUGCUAGACCGCGAGGUGGAGCGAAUCCCAAAAAGUUUAUCUCAGUCCGGAUUGGAGUCUGCAACUCGACU
This 528-nucleotide ribosomal RNA is filed under the name uncultured bacterium. RNAcentral describes it as "bacterial SSU rRNA". It matches the Rfam family "Bacterial small subunit ribosomal RNA", at positions 791 to 1317 of the family's 1533-position model. The record is from RNAcentral.